Molecule: unclassified non-coding RNA, 1476 nt
Filed under: Exaiptasia diaphana
Lineage: Eukaryota; Metazoa; Cnidaria; Anthozoa; Actiniaria; Aiptasiidae
Description: tNF receptor-associated factor 5, transcript variant X1
Source: RNAcentral
UAAUAUUUCCUUGCCACUAGUACGCACAUGCGUAUAUGCGUAAAGGAGAAAAUCUAAGACUGAUGCUAUUUACAAAAUCACGAAAUCAAGCCAUGAAUGUAAAUCAUGACAAAACCAAAGUACUUAGUUCACUCGGUAAAAAAAAUUAGAUGUAGUAAAGACGUAAAUUACUUAUAUUGACUUAAUUCUGUCUUGAGUUAUUUAAAACAAAGAAGUCGUGAAAAUAAAUAGUUACAGCCCAAUGGUGGCGACCAAUGGCAAUNAAUCGCGCUACAGGAAGCCCAUGUAAACGAUCUAUGAUCGUCUAGUUAUAUAUUAAUUUAUCACCUCGAUCAAUAGUUCACUUUGAAGGUAGGAGCAAAUACGGAGAGAAGCGUUAGUAUCAUGGCCGGUAACACGGAAUUGCAGUCUGGAUACGACUAUCAGUUUGUUGCACAAGUACCUGAACACUAUAUUUGUAGUAUUUGUCAUCUUGCAAUGCGAAAACCCGUUCAGACAAGAUGUGGACAUCGAUUUUGUAAGGACUGUUUACACAGGAGCUUAGAGAGAAAGCGAGAAUGCCCUUUGGAUAAAAACUAUCUCACUUCUUAUCAAGUAUUUGAGGAUGUAGCAACAGAAAGGGAAAUUCUUUCACUCCACGUAAAUUGCCCCAACCAUGGUUGUAGUUGGCAGGGUGAAGUUAGAGAUGUCAAGGAUCACGAAAGCAAAUGUCCACUGACUGCUGUCCCCUGCAACUACUUCAAAUUUGGAUGCACUUUUAAGGGACCACGAAAAUCUUUAAGCGAGCAUUAUAAGAACAACCUAGCAGAGCAUCUUGANAUUAUGACACAACACUUCUUGCCUCUUGAAGAGGACAAUAAAAGUCUUAAGAGAAUGUACUUGGCACUGAAGGAUGAGAACAAGAGGCGAGUGGAGGAGCUGCAAGCAAAGGUCUUGAUGCUGCAAGAUGAGAAUAAGAAACAAGAACUCAAGGAAUGCAACACGGUAAUAAUGACCAAAGAUGAUCAGUCAAGAUAUAGUUACAUAUGGAAAAUCAACGAUUUCAGCAGACAGCUACAGCUUGCAAAGCAGCAAGACCGUGAUAUCAGACUGUGCAGUGAACCGUUUUACACUCACAAGAAUGGAUACAAACUGAAACUACAGUUAUAUCCUAAUGGAUUUGGUGCAGGGAGCCCAUGUAAGCGACCUAAGAGCGUCUAGUUUCACUACUAGGCGCCGACUGCGUGUAGCACGAAGUCGAACGGAAGAGUUGAUCAUUGAAAUCAUGGCCAGUAACACUGAAUUACCGUCUGGAUACGACUAUCAGUUUGUCGAGCAAGUACCUGANGACUACAUUUGUAGUAUUUGUCAUCUUGUAAUGCGUAUUCCAGUACAGACAAAGUGUGGACAUCAAUUUUGUAAAGACUGUUUGGAUGCAGCCUUAAAGAGAAAACGAAAAUGUCCUCUGGACAACAAGCGACUUACUGCACAGCAGGU